UACAGAGGUCUCAAGCGUUGUUCGGAUUCAUUGGGCGUAAAGGGUGCGUAGGCGGCGCUGUAAGUCGGGUGUGAAAUCUUGGAGCUUAACUCCGAAACUGCAUUCGAUACUGCCGUGCUUGAGGACUGGAGAGGAGACUGGAAUUUACGGUGUAGCGGUGAAAUGCGUAGAUAUCGUAAGGAAGACCAGUGGCGAAGGCGGGUCUCUGGACAGUUCCUGACGCUGAGGCACGAAGGUCAGGGGAGCAAACGGG
Molecule: ribosomal RNA, 253 nt
Filed under: uncultured bacterium
Lineage: Bacteria
Description: partial 16S ribosomal RNA
Rfam family: Bacterial small subunit ribosomal RNA
Source: RNAcentral